UGUAUCCAAACACAAUCUCUAAAAAUCGAUUAAUCCAAUUUGGCACGCGCGAGAUCUCACUUCCCUUCUUCACUCACUCUGCAACUUCGAGAUCAAGUUAAAGAGAUUUUCGCGAAGGUUUUGAAUUCCGGAUAUAAGAAUGGCGGCAUCAUCACCAUUGUACAACCAACUCAAGGCUGCUGAACCAUUCUUUUUGUUGGCUGGUCCAAAUGUGAUCGAAUCCGAGGAACAUAUUCUUCGAAUGGCAAAGCACAUUAAAGACAUUGCCACAAAAGUUGGGUUGCCCCUUGUUUUCAAGUCAAGUUUUGAUAAAGCUAACAGAACUUCUUCAAAGUCAUUCCGAGGUCCUGGCAUGGCGGAGGGUCUGAAGAUUCUUGAGAAGGUGAAAGUAGCAUAUGACCUACCAAUAGUAACUGAUGUUCACGAAUCAAGCCAGUGUGAAGCAGUCGGCAAGGUUGCAGAUAUAAUUCAGAUUCCAGCAUUCUUAUGUCGCCAGACAGAUCUCCUGGUUGCAGCAGCACAAACUGGGAAAAUUAUCAAUAUUAAGAAAGGACAAUUCUGUGCUCCUUCUGUCAUGGAAAAUUCAGCCGAGAAGAUUAGACUGGCUGGGAAUCCAAAUGUGAUGGUUUGUGAAAGAGGAACCAUGUUUGGAUACAAUGAUUUGAUAGUAGAUCCAAGAAACUUUGAGUGGAUGAGGGAAGCGAAUUGUCCUGUUGUCGCUGAUAUAACCCAUUCACUACAACAACCUGCAGGCAAGAAGUUGGAUGGUGGUGGUGUUGCUAGUGGAGGCCUUCGCGAGUUAAUACCAUGCAUUGCAAGAACAGCUGUAGCAGUUGGCGUCGAUGGAAUUUUCAUGGAGGUUCAUGAUGAUCCUCUAAGUGCUCCAGUUGAUGGUCCAACUCAAUGGCCUUUGCGUCAUCUAGAAGAACUCCUGGAAGAGCUCAUCGCGAUUGCUAGGGUCACAAAAGGGAAACAGCGGUUCCAAAUCGAUCUCACACCCUACCAUGAUUAAGAUCAAAGUCAUAGAGGGGAGAGUAGCUUAAGGGAGCAAUAUUUCUAUUCUGCACCCCUCCUGACAAAAAGAACUCAAUCCAAGAAGAUGAAUAUGAAUCCACGGUGCCAAACAUGAAAGUUGGAUUGGGACUUGCAGGGCAGGCAGUGACCAUAUCCAAAACAGAAGUGGCAGGUUUGAGCUGGUGAGGGAAGUUGAAGGCCAAGUUAUCGACUUUAUGCUCAUAGAUUUUGCCAUUCCGAUCUAGUUUAUAGCGAGAAGUACCCUGAAACUCUCCCUUUGCCUCCCACGGAACUCUAGGUUUAACAAGGAAGGAACCACCUUAACGGAGAUGAUGAAA
Camelina sativa (false flax) is the source of this 1352-nucleotide non-coding RNA. NCBI's taxonomy places the organism in Eukaryota, Viridiplantae, Streptophyta, Magnoliopsida, Brassicales, Brassicaceae. The record is from RefSeq and is a predicted model, not a curated record.